This 414-nucleotide small RNA is filed under the name Histoplasma capsulatum. RNAcentral describes it as "hypothetical RNA". Lineage: Eukaryota; Fungi; Ascomycota; Eurotiomycetes; Onygenales; Ajellomycetaceae. The record is from RNAcentral. RNAcentral also lists the same sequence under 1 other name.
CUAUGCGUGUGCAAGUAACUCCCCCCCCCAAUAAAUGAAACAUUUUGAUGAAUUUAUUAUUAUCAUCCUGCCACCUUGAUUAAGACGAGGUGCAUAUAUGGCCAUUGGUGGUGGGGGAGGAGGGGUUAAGAUUUGGUUUUAUGUUUUGUUCCAAGAUCUGUGAAGCAGGUUUUUUGGAGAUGAGAAGUUGUAUAUGCUUUUGAAUAGUGCCUGCGCCAUUGCGGAAUAAGUUGGACUGUGGGAUCUCAUUGCCUCUUCACCUCACACUCCGCUAGCUAAAUGUCUGGCAUACUUUAGCAAGACCUUAUAAAAAUUAGCUUCAUAAAAAACAGCCACACUGUGUGGUCAUUACUACUCCUUUCCGUGGUGAUGGGUUAUAGAAACCCAGUAUGGAAAAAAGCCUUUUUGCCCGGC